GACGAACGCUGGCGGCGUGCUUAACACAUGCAAGUCGAGCGGUAAGGCCACUUCGGGGGUACACGAGCGGCGAACGGGGGAGGAACACGAGGGUGACCUGCCCCCAGCUCUGGGAUAAGGCUGGGAAACGGGGUCCAAUACCGGAAAUGACCGUUCCUUGCAAGGGGAUGGGUGGAAAGUUUUUUCGGCUGGGGAUGGGCCCGCGGGCUGUCAGCUUGUUGGUGGGGUGAUGGCCUACCAAGGCGACGACGGGUAGCCGGCCUGAGAGGGCGACCGGCCACACUGGGACUGAGCCACGGCCCAGACUCCUCCGGGAGGCAGCAGUGGGGAAUAUUGCGCAAUGGGCGGAAGCCUGACGCAGCGACGCCGCGUGGGGGAUGACGGCCUUCGGGUUGUAAACCUCUUUCGACCCCGACGAAUUUGGACGGUAGGGGUAGAAGAAGCACCGGCCAACUACGUG
This 460-nucleotide ribosomal RNA is filed under the name uncultured bacterium. RNAcentral describes it as "partial 16S ribosomal RNA". It matches the Rfam family "Bacterial small subunit ribosomal RNA", at positions 28 to 507 of the family's 1533-position model. The record is from RNAcentral.